UGGGGGAAACCUGACCCAGCAACGCCGCGUGAAGGAUGAAGGCCUUCGGGUUGUAAACUUCUGUGACGGGGGACGAGGUAUGACGGUACCCCGAGAGGAAGCCACGGCAAACUACGUGCCAGCAGCCGCGGUAAUACGUAGGUGGCGAGCGUUGUCCGGAAUCACUGGGCGUAAAGGGCGCGUANGCGGCUUGACAAGUCGCAUGUGAAAAACCAGGGCUCAACUCUGGGGGGUCAUGCGAAACUGUUUGGCUUGAGUGCAGUAGAGGGAAGCGGAAUUCCUGGUGUAGCGGUAAAAUGCGU
This 302-nucleotide ribosomal RNA is filed under the name uncultured bacterium. RNAcentral describes it as "bacterial SSU rRNA". It matches the Rfam family "Bacterial small subunit ribosomal RNA", at positions 372 to 691 of the family's 1533-position model. The record is from RNAcentral.